CUACGGGCGGCUGCAGUGAGGAAUAUUGCACAAUGGGGGGAACCCUGAUGCAGCAACGCCGCGUGGAGGAUGACGCAUUUCGGUGUGUAAACUCCUUUUAUAUGUCAAGAAAAUGACGGUAGCAUAUGAAUAAGCACCGGCUAACUCCGUGCCAGCAGCCGCGGUAAUAGGGAGGGUGCAAGCGUUACUCGGAAUCACUGGGCGUAAAGGACGCGUAGGCGGGUUGGAAAGUCAGGUGUGAAUCCUACAGCUUAACUGUAGAACUGCACUUGAAACUUCUAAUCUAGAGUAUGGGAGGGGGAGAUGGAAUUAGUGGUGUAGGGGUAAAAUCCGUAGAUAUCACUAGGAAUACCUAAAGCGAAGGCGAUCUCCUGGAACAUUACUGACGCUAAGGCGUGAAAGCGUGGGGAGCAAACAGGAUUAGAUACCCUCGUAGUC
RNAcentral lists this ribosomal RNA (438 nucleotides) under uncultured bacterium. RNAcentral's name for it is "partial 16S ribosomal RNA". It matches the Rfam family "Bacterial small subunit ribosomal RNA", at positions 339 to 795 of the family's 1533-position model. The record is from RNAcentral.